This 845-nucleotide ribosomal RNA is filed under the name uncultured bacterium. Its description in RNAcentral is "bacterial SSU rRNA". It matches the Rfam family "Bacterial small subunit ribosomal RNA", at positions 624 to 1467 of the family's 1533-position model. The record is from RNAcentral.
CUUUUAAUACUGCCAAGCUAGAGUUUUGGAGAGGGAAGGGGAACUAACAGAGUAGCGGUGAAAUGCGUAGAUACUGUUAGGAACACCAGUGGCGAAGGCGCCUUCCUGGACAAUAACUGACGUUAAAGUGCGAAAGCGUGGGGAGCAAACAGGAUUAGAUACCCUGGUAGUCCACGCUGUAAACGAUGUACAUUAGGUGUAGGGGGUAUCGACCCCCUCUGUGCCGAAGCUAACGUGUUAAAUGUACCGCCUGGGGAUUACGGCCGCAAGGCUAAAACUCAAAGAAAUUGACGGGGGCCCGCACAAGCAGUGGAUUAUGUGGUUCAAUUCGACGAUACCCGAAAAACCUUACCAGUACUUGACAUCCGUGGAAUCUUGCAGAAGUGUGAGAGUGCCCGCAAGGGAGCCGCGAGACAGGUGGUGCAUGGCUGUCGUCAGUCUCGUGUCGUGAGAUGUUAGGUUAAGUCCUGCAACGAGCGCAACCCCCAUCGUAUGUUGCUACAUUUAGUUGAGCACUCAUGCGAGACUGCCCAUGGAAAGUGGGAGGAAGGUGGGGAUGACGUCAAGUCAUCAUGCCCCUUACGUUCUGGGCUACACACAUAAUACAAUGGGCGUUACAAAGAGUCGCAAGCGCGCAAGUGCAAGCUAAUCUCAAAAAAGCGCCCUCAGUUCGGAUUGUAGGCUGCAACUCGCCUACAUGAAGCUGGAAUUGCUAGUAAACGCAGAUCAGCAUGCUGCGUUGAAUACGUUCUCGGGCCUUGUACACACCGCCCGUCACACCAUGAAAGGUAGAAAUAACCGAAGCCGUUGCGCUAACCGCAAGGAGGCAGACGUCUAAGUUAGUG